This is a long non-coding RNA of Dioscorea cayenensis subsp. rotundata (Guinea yam), 915 nucleotides long. RefSeq lists it as uncharacterized. The record is from RefSeq and is a predicted model, not a curated record. Lineage: Eukaryota; Viridiplantae; Streptophyta; Magnoliopsida; Dioscoreales; Dioscoreaceae. The transcript is spliced from 4 exons.
AUCUAUAUAUCAUUAAAUCAAAUCAAAAACCUUCUUCUCCUCACCAUUCUUCUACUUUUUCUUCAGCUUCUACAUCGAAACACAGCACCACGAGAGACUUUGAGCCAGUGGCUGAAAAAAGAGCAGCACAACGUCCAGCGGUGCUCCCGAGAAGUGAGUUUGCACGUUGGAGAUGGGUCCGGGAGGUGGGUAAAGUCUGGGAGGUGGUACUGGUGGUGGGUCAUGCUCAUGUCCAUCGCUCGUCGGUGCGGAUCGUGUCGUUGAGGAAGAGAACGAAGGGCACUAGGGACUGGGGAGUGCUCUUCUACUUUCAUUCGCUCAUCCGUGCCGUCAUCUGGAUUUUAGGGGCUUAUAGAGCAUUGUAUCUUUUAAACUAGAUUUAUCACUUCUUUGCGGAGAAUGUAGUUCGCUGGAUUGCCGUGAAAAAUUUGGCGAAGUUCGCGCCAAGCUGUGGUGGGAAGAGAACCGGGAAAAAAAUUCAAGCUCAGUACCGUUGAGUCAAACACAAGGGAGAAGAGGAAGGAGGUUAUGAGUAAGCUGGAAUUUUUAGAGAAAGCAUACGAGGAGCAGAAGCAGCAGAAUCAGUACAUCCUUUCUCUAUUAGAAUCUCGAGGUAUCCAGGUAAACUUUGAGACAACUCCUCGUAUUUCUCAUGCUCCUGCUAGGACUGGAGAGUCUGCUUCGAUCUCAUACCCCUCACACUUCAAAGGAUGUUGAACAGCCUCAGCCUGUCGAUGAUAUUGCAACAAAAUGAAUGUGGUGUUUUGGAUUAUUACAUUAGAUACUUGGACUAUUACAUUUUGUAUUUGUUUGUUAUAUUAGAUGUUUGAACUAUUAUAUUUUGUAUUGCAUUGUUAUUCUAGAUAUUUAUCUAUCAGAAUGUUUAUUUUGAAAAAUAUUAUAAAAGUUAUUAUU